GAUGAACGCUGGCGGCGUGCCUAAUACAUGCAAGUCGAGCGAACAGACGAGGAGCUUGCUCCUCUGACGUUAGCGGCGGACGGGUGAGUAACACGUGGAUAACCUACCUAUAAGACUGGGAUAACUUCGGGAAACCGGAGCUAAUACCGGAUAAUAUAUUGAACCGCAUGGUUCAAUAGUGUAAGACGGUUUUGCUGUCCCUUCUACAUGGAUCCGCGCCGCAUUAGCUAGUUGGUAAGGUAACGGCUUACCAAGGCAACGAUGCGUAGCCGACCUGAGAGGGUGAACGGCCACACUGGAACUGAGACACGGUCCAGACUCCUACGGGAGGCAGCAGUAGGGAAUCUACCGCAAUGGGCGAAAGCCUGACGGAGCAGCGCCGCGUGAGUGAUGAAGGUCUGCGGAUCGUAAAACUCUGUUAUGAGGGAAGAACAAAUGUGUAAGUAACUAUGCACGUCUUGACGGUACCUAAUCAGAAAGCCACGGCUAACUACGUG
This 497-nucleotide ribosomal RNA is filed under the name uncultured bacterium. RNAcentral's name for it is "partial 16S ribosomal RNA". It matches the Rfam family "Bacterial small subunit ribosomal RNA", at positions 28 to 507 of the family's 1533-position model. The record is from RNAcentral.